AGUUGGAGCUGUGACACAUUUUUGACCAAAGAGAUCUAUCUGGAAGUCGACUGGGAUUUCCUGGAAAGCAGCUUCUUCUCAAUCCUCCUAACUGGUGAGUGGGACAUCAACAGCUGUCUUAUACCUAAAAUAAUAAAGCAAUUGAAGAGGGAAAAAAAUCAGCCGAAGGUGUAUACCCCCUCCACGCUGGGUGACUGUGGUAUAUUUCAUCUUCGCAUUCUAAAUCAAUGCUAAGCAAAGCACAGAAAUGUUUACCUUUGUCUGAUCUCUAAUUCCCUAAAUUUAUGUGGAAUCAUGCACAGAUGCGCUGGAAACCAGCCUGGAAAAGCCUGGCAUUUUAAUUGAUCCCAGAGCUUCUUGCCUCACGGCUCC
Molecule: long non-coding RNA, 372 nt
Filed under: Homo sapiens (human)
Lineage: Eukaryota; Metazoa; Chordata; Mammalia; Primates; Hominidae
Description: non-protein coding lnc-SLC17A6-1:1
Source: RNAcentral